GGUCUGCAGUACCCUGUGGCGGGUGCGAACCCCCGCCCGGCAGUGGCGGGGGCUGCUCCCAGCUUCUGGCUGUCGCGGACCUGCCGCCUCCUCCUACUCCGCAUCCGCCGAGCCUGCCCGGGUCCGGGCGCUUGUCUAUGGGCACCACGGGGAUCCAGCCAAGGUCGUCGAGUGUACAGCCUUGGCCUCAAAGGAGCCAUUGUGACCUUAUCCAGGCUGGGAUCUGUUGAUUGAGGACAGUGGCAUCCCCUCGAGUUGCAUGGCGCCAUUACACUCACGGAGGACGUGAACGAGGUAUAACCAGGGAAUUGUUUCAGAGGUUUCCUUGGAUAUUCCUACAACUGAUAACAGCUGUCAUUUCUUCAGCAUCUACUGUAACCGUAAUUCCUGGGCACACAUGGCAGCUCAGAAAUGUUGCCUGACCUACUUUGAGGAGAUGAUUUGAGCGAAACACCCAUUCUAGCCUGGAUGACAUGAACAUCUCCGUUUGGCUUUGUGCUUAGACUCAAGAACCUGGAGCUAGCUGCUGUGGGAGGAUCAGAUGUCCGUGUGAAGAUGCUGGCGGCCCCUAUCAAUCCAUCUGACAUAAAUAUGAUCCAAGGAAACUACGGACUCCUUCCUGAACUGCCUGCUGUUGGAGGGAACGAAGGUGUUGCACAGGUGGUAGCGGUGGGCAGCAAUGUGACCGGGCUGAAGCCAGGAGACUGGGUGAUUCCAGCAAAUGCUGGUUUAGGAACCUGGCGGACCGAGGCUGUGUUCAGCGAGGAAGCACUGAUCCAAGUUCCGAGUGACAUCCCUCUUCAGAGCGCUGCCACCCUGGGUGUCAAUCCCUGCACAGCCUACAGGAUGUUGAUGGACUUCGAGCAACUGCAGCCAGACCUGAUAUCCAGAAGCUGAGUGACAGAC
RNAcentral lists this small RNA (906 nucleotides) under Pan troglodytes (chimpanzee). RNAcentral describes it as "processed transcript". Lineage: Eukaryota; Metazoa; Chordata; Mammalia; Primates; Hominidae. The record is from RNAcentral.